UGGGACGUGGGGGCACCCUGACCCCAAUGCCGCGUGAGUGUAGAAGGCCUUCGGGUUGUAAAGCUCUUUUGUCAGGGAAGAAACACCGGCUCUAACACAGUCCGGGAAUGACGGUACCUGAAGAAUAAGCACCGGCUAACUACGUGCCAGCAGCCGCGGAAAUACGUAGGGUGCAAGCGUUAAUCGGAAUUACUGGGCGUAAAGCGUGCGCAGGCGGUUAUACAAGACAGGCGUGAAAUCCCCGGGCCUAACCUGGGAAUGGCGCCUGUGACUGUAUAGCUAGAGUGUGUCAGAGGGGGGUAGAAUUCCACGUGUAGCAUUUAAAUGCGUAGAUAUGUGGAGAAAAACCAAUGGCGAAGGCGCCCCCUGGGAUAACACUGACCCUCAUGCCCCACA
RNAcentral lists this ribosomal RNA (396 nucleotides) under uncultured bacterium. Its description in RNAcentral is "bacterial SSU rRNA". It matches the Rfam family "Bacterial small subunit ribosomal RNA", at positions 365 to 758 of the family's 1533-position model. The record is from RNAcentral.